UAACUCUGGUUUCCCUUCAAAACGCAUAACGCUUUCGCCUUUUACUAAAGAUUUCCGUGGAGGGGAACAACUCAAUGAGUCUUAAUGAGUCGGUGGGUUCAUUAAAAUUAUAUAGUAAG
Penaeus indicus is the source of this 119-nucleotide small nuclear RNA. RefSeq annotates it as U5 spliceosomal RNA. Lineage: Eukaryota; Metazoa; Arthropoda; Malacostraca; Decapoda; Penaeidae. The record is from RefSeq and is a predicted model, not a curated record. The transcript has a single exon.